RNAcentral lists this unclassified non-coding RNA (139 nucleotides) under uncultured fungus. Its description in RNAcentral is "sequence contains ITS1, 5.8S rRNA gene". Lineage: Eukaryota; Fungi. The record is from RNAcentral.
CUGAGUUUUUACUCUAAACCCUGUUUACCUAUCUGUUGCUUCGGAGGCGCCCCUCGGGAGGGGUUAUGCUUCGGCCGUCUCCAAAAGCACCUAAACUAUUGAACUGUGUUGUCAAUCUGAAAAGUAAAAAAAAAAAAUC